This 170-nucleotide ribosomal RNA is filed under the name uncultured rumen bacterium. RNAcentral's name for it is "partial 16S ribosomal RNA". It matches the Rfam family "Bacterial small subunit ribosomal RNA", at positions 340 to 524 of the family's 1533-position model. The record is from RNAcentral.
UACGGGAGGCAGCAGUGGGGAAUAUUGGGCAAUGGGCGAAAGCCUGACCCAGCAACGCCGCGUGAAGGAAGAAGGUCUUCGGAUUGUAAACUUCUUUUAUGAGGGACGAAGGACGUGACGGUACCUCAUGAAUAAGCCACGGCUAACUACGUGCCAGCAGCCGCGGUAAU